GACGAACGCUGGCGGCGUGCUUAACACAUGCAAGUCGUACGGUAAGGUCCUUUCGGGGGUACACGAGUGGCGAACGGGGGAGUAACACGUGAGUAACCUUCCCACAACUUUGGGAUAACGCUAGGAAACUGGUGCUAGUACUGGAUAUGUGCUACUUCUGCAUGGUGGUGGUUGGAAAGCUCCGGCGGGUGUGGAUGUACUGGCUGCCUAUCAGCUUGUUGGUGGGGUAGUGUCGUACCGAGGCGGCGACGGGUAGCCGGGCUGAGAGGGUGACCGGCGACAUUGGGACUGAGAUACGGCACCGACUGCUACGGGAGGCAGCAGUGGGGAAUAUUGCACAAUGGGCGCCAGCCUGAUGCAGCAGCGCCGCGUGCGGGAUGACGGCCUUCGGGUUGUAAAACGCUUUCAGCAGGGACGAAGCUUUUUGUGACGGUACCUGCAGAAGAAGCACCGGCUAACUACGUG
This 465-nucleotide ribosomal RNA is filed under the name uncultured bacterium. RNAcentral's name for it is "partial 16S ribosomal RNA". It matches the Rfam family "Bacterial small subunit ribosomal RNA", at positions 28 to 507 of the family's 1533-position model. The record is from RNAcentral.